AACGAACGCUGGCGGCGUGGAUUAGGCAUGCAAGUCGAACGAGAAAGGGGGGCGAACCCCCUCGAGUAGAGUGGCGAACGGGUGAGUAGCGCGUGGGGAACCUGCCCUUGAGUUGGGGAUAACUCCCCAACGGGGUGCUAAUACCGAAUGUGUCCCGGCCCUCGCAUGGGGGCCGGAGUAAAGGUGGGGAUCCUUCGGGACCUGCCGCUCAAGGAUGGCCCCCGCGUCCCAUUAGCUAGUUGGUGAGGUAACGGCCCACCAAGGCGAUGAUGGGUAGCUGGUCUGAGAGGAUGGUCAGCCACACUGGGACUGAGAUACGGCCCAGACUCCUACGGGAGGCUG
Molecule: ribosomal RNA, 342 nt
Filed under: uncultured Latescibacterota bacterium
Lineage: Bacteria; Pseudomonadati; Candidatus Latescibacterota
Description: bacterial SSU rRNA
Rfam family: Bacterial small subunit ribosomal RNA
Source: RNAcentral